RNAcentral lists this ribosomal RNA (532 nucleotides) under uncultured bacterium. Its description in RNAcentral is "bacterial SSU rRNA". It matches the Rfam family "Bacterial small subunit ribosomal RNA", at positions 30 to 555 of the family's 1533-position model. The record is from RNAcentral.
GGACCGCUCGUUUUACAGCCUCACACAUGCAAGUCGAGCGGAUGACGGGAGCUUGCUCCUUGAUUCAGCGGCGGACGGGUGAGUAAUGCCUAGGAAUCUGCCUGGUAGUGGGGGACAACGUUUCGAAAGGAACGCUAAUACCGCAUACGUCCUACGGGAGAAAGCAGGGGACCUUCGGGCCUUGCGCUAUCAGAUGAGCCUAGGUCGGAUUAGCUAGUUGGUGGGGUAAUGGCUCACCAAGGCGACGAUCCGUAACUGGUCUGAGAGGAUGAUCAGUCACACUGGAACUGAGACACGGUCCAGACUCCUACGGGAGGCAGCAGUGGGGAAUAUUGGACAAUGGGCGAAAGCCUGAUCCAGCCAUGCCGCGUGUGUGAAGAAGGUCUUCGGAUUGUAAAGCACUUUAAGUUGGGAGGAAGGGCAGUAAGUUAAUACCUUGCUGUUUUUGACGUUACCGACAGAAUAAGCACCGGCUAACUCUGUGCCAGCAGCCGCGGUAAUACAGAGGGUGCAAGCGUUAAUCGGAAUUACU